CUGAGCAGUACGAUCAUGUAUCAGAGCUCCACUAGCUACAGUUACAAUAAACUACUUAACAAUCCAAGGUACCGUCACUUCCUACCUCCUCACGCCCCAUCGCCACAACGAGCAGUGCCCCACAGUCAAGCUUGUCUACCUAUACCACCUCUCACCACAGACUCUUACAACCAGCUACCUACAGCCCACAGCCACCAGAGCAGACGGCAAGUUUCAGCAGGAAGCAUUGGCAGGAAAAACAGAGACAAGCUGGUGUGGCUAGGAUUGAAAUAUUGCUGUGUUUGAAGAAUAAAGGAAAUUCAGAAUUGAUUUUUGUUACCGGGCUGGCUGGUUGCCUCCCUCAACAAUGAUGUAAACUGUGAAUAAAUUGAUUCCAAGUA
Molecule: long non-coding RNA, 380 nt
Organism: Portunus trituberculatus (swimming crab)
Lineage: Eukaryota; Metazoa; Arthropoda; Malacostraca; Decapoda; Portunidae
Exons: 2
Source: RefSeq, a predicted model, not a curated record